This 322-nucleotide ribosomal RNA is filed under the name uncultured Bacillota bacterium. Its description in RNAcentral is "bacterial SSU rRNA". It matches the Rfam family "Bacterial small subunit ribosomal RNA", at positions 28 to 351 of the family's 1533-position model. Lineage: Bacteria; Bacillati; Bacillota. The record is from RNAcentral.
GACGAACGCUGGCGGCGUGCUUAACACAUGCAAGUCGAACGGAGAUAAUAGUAAUAUUAUCUUAGUGGCGGACGGGUGAGUAACGCGUGGGCAACUUGCCUCAGACUGGGGGAUAACACAGGGAAACUUGUGCUAAUACCGCAUAACAUGGUUGAAGGACAUCCUUCGAUCAUCAAAGGAGUAAUCCGGUUUGAGAUGGGCCCGCGUCCGAUUAGCUAGUUGGUAGUGUAAUGGACUACCAAGGCGACGAUUGGUAGCCGAACUGAGAGGUUGAUCGGCCACAUUGGGACUGAGACACGGCCCAGACUCCUACGGGUGGCUG